Molecule: non-coding RNA, 687 nt
Organism: Manis javanica (Malayan pangolin)
Lineage: Eukaryota; Metazoa; Chordata; Mammalia; Pholidota; Manidae
Source: RefSeq, a predicted model, not a curated record
UAAAAAAUUAUUACAUUCUUAGAUGUUAGUAAGUUUUCUGCAGAAGUGUCUGGAUACUUCAAAGGCUUUGCUGUAUUUAAUAAUUGAACAAGACACCACCAUAGGUAUGUUAACACAUUUACAGAAUCUAGGAAAUGACAGGACUUAGCAGUGAGGAAUGGAGCAUGGAUUUAGAAAUCAGCAGAUGUGGUGUGAAAGCUCAAACCCUGCACAUGCUUGCUGUAGGACCUCAGGCAAAACACAUCUCCGAGACUGUUCAUUCCUCUGUACGUUACUUACCUUAUGGUUAUGGUAAUGAUAAAGUCAGUUAAUAUAUGAGAAGUACUUGGAAUAUAAUAAAUGCUAAAUAAUUGGUUACUCUUAUCCCUGUGCCUAUUCUUAAUUCUGAACUUCCAUUACUGGCACUUUAUAUUAGGUACUAAAUGGCUACCAAAGAAGACAAUGGGAUUAACGCCUGUGUCUUCAAGGCUCCCUGCUCUGGCCACCACCACCUACUAUCACUAACGGCUGCUUAAAUGUCUUCGGUUCCCGCCGGUGCCACCCGAGGCCCAAUCACCUCUUGCCACCCCCUAAUCCUGGCACCUGGCCAAUAGCCACCAGUCCCGUUGAAGUGACACCUCAAUCAGCUUAUGUCCCUCCCUAUAUAACCUAGUACUUUUCCCCAAUAAAGUGGAACUCUCCGGUGAA